GAUGUGGACAUCCCUUUAAAUCCCAUGAUCCAUCAUCAACAAUAGUGUUACGCAGCAACUCCCACUUUCGAAUUGAAUUCUGGUGCUCUCCAUCAGCCGUUCGCUGGAGAGAAAAGACAAAUAAUUUCAUAGCUCAAGAGCAUCAAACAGAUGAGCCCGCACACAGGGUCCGGUAGCAAUUGCGGCGAACAAAGUGUUUAGAGUGUUUAGCCUUCCCGUUGAGGGCAUGCGCCUUCCCUCUUUCUAGCUGCAUGAGUUAGUAUCGCUCAGGGCCGUCAGCACAGCUUUUAGAUGAACAUUUGGCUGUUCCCCUAGGUUGGCUUGCUAUUGUCGCGGCUGCUCCCUGUUUGCUUUGGAGCAGAGGGACUGGGACCUUAAAAGCCGAAAUUCUUUGCUUCAAGGUAUGAACCGAUUUCUUGCUCUCAUUUAAAAGGAGGAGAUGUUCUAGGGUGCCUCAUCUUUCUUUCCCUUGAGAUUUUCUUUCCUUUUAAACUCUUUGAGGCAGAAGAGCACUUUAGCCUCAGCCAACUGAAAAGAUGUUGCAAAUGCAUCUGGGGUUUGGCAUCCUCAUAUAAUGUCUUUUCUUGAAUGCGUGGGACGUGCCCUAGGGCGCUGCCCGCGCUCAGCACAGCGGCCAUUGCGGGGAAAAGAGGACCGCUGGAUGGCCGUCGUACGUAACCUCCACCUCUGGGUCUCUGCAGAAAGAAGAAACGGGUAAUUCUGUCCCAAGGCUUAGCCCUCGUGUCUAGGGACGAGCCCCGACCCGGACGGCAGGGCCAGCCACUCCACAGCUUACUGUUCUCUGACUCCCAACACUCCGGCCACUAUGCCUGGAAAGAACAUCUAAUCAAGACAAAGGGAAAGCCCCUGGAGUAAUUUGUUCAUCAGUAGGAAGCAAAGGAACUUCAAGUCCACUCUCCCCGCCUGAGUCGCGAACGAAGCGACUCUCCGCUCAGCCACUGGAGAAGUUUGUAACUCCAUGAGAGCCACAGAGGUCUAUGUCGAUAGCAGUUCACUCUGUCCUCUCCCACUAGCCAGGCCGCCCACCUGUUGCAGAGCACCCCAGAGAUUGUCAGAGAAGCCUCAGAACCGUCUUUCUCUGCUGCUGCAGCACUCCCAGAAGAUCCAGACUUUGGCUGCUGGCAAUGUGAUAAUAACAAAGCUCAGAGGACCCAAGGGAAAAGAGUCUCCAUUUCUCCUUGCAGAGCAGGACACCCCACUCCUGGUAGUGAGAGCUGCCAUAGGGUUUCAGGGUAAUAGAGAAAGCAGAGACUGGAGUCUUAACCAGAUCCCGGGGAAACUCACUGCCUUCGUGGGGUAUUGUCAUCUCGGUUUCAUAGAUGAGAGAACUGAGGCAUGCGGAGAUCGGGCAACUUGCCUGUGUUGUCAGAGCCAGUGAGUGGCAGAGCAAGGGCUCCACCCAGACACCAUUCACAGAGCCCAUGCUUCUCAGCCAGGAAACCGCCACCAUGCAGGAAAUGAGCUGGACUCCGCAGAGAGCCGCAGGAGAAGGCCAGCACGUGCCAGAAUUUCCACAUUUCCUGCUGCUUUCCCAACGCCUCGAUUUUGGUCAGGAGGCAGUUGGAUUUCCAAGAGACGGCCCUCACGUCAUUUCGGACAGCAUGGAAGGCUGAGAAGCGCAGACUUUGAGCUGAGCACCUGGCCUCACAAAACAACCAUUGGGCUUCUGUUACCGCAAAGGAAGAGAGAAGAGAAUAUCGGGCAGGCAGCUCUCUGUUUCUGCCACAUUCUCCAGAAAUUCUGCUCUCCUCUGGCUGGCGCUGCCAGGAAUACGAGCCUCGCUAUAGCC
Molecule: non-coding RNA, 1810 nt
Organism: Microcebus murinus (gray mouse lemur)
Lineage: Eukaryota; Metazoa; Chordata; Mammalia; Primates; Cheirogaleidae
Source: RefSeq, a predicted model, not a curated record